CCAAUAUGUUCUCGUCCUCUUGAGUCUUCUUAAGCUGUCUACAGAUAAAUGUAUACUAGCUAUCAUUUUCUUUUAUCUGCAUGCAAGAAAGAGGUGAUUCCCUCUCCUAUAUCUGUUUCCAGAAACCACUGAUCCUUUUUCUGUCAUUAUAGUUUACAUUAUGUAGCAUCUCUUAUCAUUGGAAUCAAAUGAUUUUGACAAUAAUUUAAUGGUAUCCAUAAGAUGGCAAUGUCAGACAAUGCUGUAGAAAAAAGGAAGGAAAGGAAGGAAUGAAGAAGGAAAGAGGGAGGAAGAAAGAGAGGA
Suricata suricatta (meerkat) is the source of this 303-nucleotide long non-coding RNA. RefSeq lists it as uncharacterized. The record is from RefSeq and is a predicted model, not a curated record. The transcript is spliced from 3 exons. NCBI's taxonomy places the organism in Eukaryota, Metazoa, Chordata, Mammalia, Carnivora, Herpestidae.